UUUGAACAGUCAAACUGUUAUAAUACCCAAAAUGGAGACAUAGGCUCAUUAAAUCCGUCUCUCAAAAUUCUACUGUGAAUACUGAAAAGGACAGGUCUCCUAAAUGGCACUGUAACUUCACGAAAUAGUGCCAAAGACAUACAAUUUAGGGGGUUUGAACUUAGUGGCACAUGUGAAAUAUACAAAAUGCCCAGCAAAAAUGCAUUCCAUGUGUAAAAAAUGCACAAAAUUAUUUUUUACCAUAUACUUUGGCAUAUAUUGGAGAAAAAAUGGGGGCAUGUUAAGGCACAAUAUGCUCCUUAUGAGAUACCCUAGAGGGUCUACUUUUAUAAAUGGUAGGCCUUUGUGGGGGUUUUUUUUUUUGAACAGUCAAGCUGUUAUAAUACCCCAAAUGGAGACAUAGGCUCAUUAAAUCCGUCUCUCAAAAUUCUACUGUGAAUUCUGAAAAGGACAGGUAUCCUGUAUGGCACUGUAGCUUCACGAAAUAGUGCCAAAGACAUACAAUGGGGGUGUCAUUUUACUCAGCAGAUGUAACUGAACACAAGAUAAAACUUUGUACAGAAAUAGCACACACCAACUUUACAAAAU
Non-coding RNA from Pelobates cultripes (western spadefoot toad), 588 nucleotides. The record is from the annotation of a GenBank genome assembly. NCBI's taxonomy places the organism in Eukaryota, Metazoa, Chordata, Amphibia, Anura, Pelobatidae.